AAACCAUAACAUGUUUGGGAAAAGGAACCGACUAAGACGUAGCUUAAAGCUCAAGUAAGUAAAAGAAGAGAAAUAAAAGAAAGCCAAAGAAGAAGAUUAAAAACGCAGUAUAAGUAUAAGGAUUCGCUGCAUCACACAAACCGACAAAACUAAAAGGGAUUUUGAGGUAGCAGUUGUUGCGACACAUUUUCUGAAUUCACUCGACGAGUGGAAUGACCGGUAGCUUGCUUGAGCUACAAAUCUCUAUCAUGAACCCGA
RNAcentral lists this small RNA (258 nucleotides) under Arabidopsis thaliana (thale cress). Its description in RNAcentral is "ATSL168440". Lineage: Eukaryota; Viridiplantae; Streptophyta; Magnoliopsida; Brassicales; Brassicaceae. The record is from RNAcentral.